RNAcentral lists this transfer RNA (83 nucleotides) under Chloroflexota bacterium. RNAcentral's name for it is "Chloroflexi bacterium (sediment metagenome) tRNA-Leu". It matches the Rfam family "tRNA". Rfam says of the family: Transfer RNA (tRNA) molecules are approximately 80 nucleotides in length. The record is from RNAcentral. Lineage: Bacteria; Bacillati; Chloroflexota.
GGAGCAGUGGCGGAACGGCAGACGCCGCGGACUUAAAAUCCGCUGAGGGAGACCUCGUGUGGGUUCGAAUCCCACCUGCUCUA